GGUCUCGGUAUUCUUUUUGCAGCGCUUAUUGCGCGGCGAAAAAACCUUACACACAGUGUUUUUUGUUAUUACAAGAACUUUUGCUUUGGUCUGGACUAGAAAUAGUUUGGGCCAGAGGUUUACUGAACUAAACUUCAAUAUUUAUAUUGAAUUGUUAUUUAUUUAAUUGUCAAUUUGUUGAUUAAAUUCAAAAAAUCUUCAAAACUUUCAACAACGGAUCUCUUGGUUCUCGCAUCGAUGAAGAACGCAGCGAAAUGCGAUAAGUAAUAUGAAUUGCAGAUUUUCGUGAAUCAUCGAAUCUUUGAACGCACAUUGCGCCCUCUGGUAUUCCAGAGGGCAUGCCUGUUUGAGCGUCAUUUCUCUCUCAAACCUUCGGGUUUGGUAUUGAGUGAUACUCUUAGUCGAACUAGGCGUUUGCUUGAAAUGUAUUGGCAUGAGUGGUACUGGAUAGUGCUAUAUGACUUUCAAUGUAUUAGGUUUAUCCAACUCGUUGAAUAGUUUAAUGGUAUAUUUCUCGGUAUUCUAGGCUCGGCCUUACAAUAUAACAAACAAGUUUGACCUCAAAUCAGGUAGGAUUACCCGCUGAACUUAAGCAUAUCAUAGCCGGGAAAGAAGCUGGGGUCACAGGGACCCUAAAUGACCAAGAACACAGCCUCUCGUGUUCUUUUAGGGAAUCCUAAAGAAAAAGAGGGGAGAGCGGUGAGUUUUUUUGCCACGG
Molecule: ribosomal RNA, 718 nt
Filed under: Debaryomyces hansenii
Lineage: Eukaryota; Fungi; Ascomycota; Pichiomycetes; Serinales; Debaryomycetaceae
Description: eukaryotic LSU rRNA
Rfam family: 5.8S ribosomal RNA (bases 203-356)
Source: RNAcentral